AAUGAACGCUGGCGGCAUGCCUAACACAUGCAAGUCGAACGAAGGCUUCGGCCUUAGUGGCGCACGGGUGCGUAACGCGUGGGAAUCUGCCCUCAGGUUCGGGAUAACAGCGAGAAAUUGCUGCUAAUACCGGAUGAUAUCGCGAGAUCAAAGAUUUAUCGCCUGAGGAUGAGCCCGCGUAGGAUUAGCUAGUUGGUGUGGUAAAGGCGCACCAAGGCGACGAUCCUUAGCUGGUCUGAGAGGAUGAUCAGCCACACUGGGACUGAGACACGGCCCAGACUCCUACGGGAGGCAGCAGUGGGGAAUAUUGGACAAUGGGCGAAAGCCUGAUCCAGCAAUGCCGCGUGAGUGAUGAAGGCCUAGGGUUGUAAAGCUCUUUUACCCGGGAUGAUAAUGACAGUACCGGGAGAAUAAGCUCCGGCUAACUCCGUGCCAGCAGCCGCAGUAA
This 448-nucleotide ribosomal RNA is filed under the name uncultured bacterium. RNAcentral's name for it is "partial 16S ribosomal RNA". It matches the Rfam family "Bacterial small subunit ribosomal RNA", at positions 29 to 523 of the family's 1533-position model. The record is from RNAcentral.